CUCUAAUCAAGUUGUAACACUCGCUGCUGUGGUCCACAGCUUCAUUCCUUGAAGCCCGUGAGACACGAACGCUUCCAUUGAGAAAAACCUUCCAUCAGAAGAAGACUUCUCGUCUCAGUGGGACUGCUGAGUUGAAUGGUGCUUUUUUUUCUGAAGCUUUGGUAGUGUAACUGUAAGAGUCCUGGAAUUGGAAAAGCAAAUCCAGAAGUUGAGUUCCAUGACUUUUUUGCUGUUUGCCUUUGGACUUGCAUCAUUUAUAUUUUUAAUUCAUCGAGGAUGAGAAAAUUGAUUAACACAAAAUCUUUUCAUGUCUUUUCUGAUGAGAGACUAGCUGAAUCCAAGAAGAGAAGCCCUUGAAGAGUGUAUUCUAUUCUAGACAAGCAUUCACACAUUGGCUUCUUUGGUGCCAGAUUAAAGAAUGAAGAAAGGAUCAAAUUGAGACAUCCAGGGGGGAAGAGUUCCCUGGCAAAACUCCAAUCUGCCUGAGCACUGAGGUGGAGCCACAGAAGUCCGGGUCAUUUGCACCUGGGAGGAGCCUGGCCCCUCCUCUUCCUGUGUGGAAUCUGGGAUUUAAUCUGUGAGGAGGGAAGGCCAAGGGCAGGAAGCACAGGCUCUCACUUCACUAAGAGUCUCUGUUUCCCCUUUUUUUCCUUUAUGCCUAAUUAAUAAAUCCCAUUUUUCUCACUCUUCAAAUAGUCUUCAAGCCUAAAUUUUCAUGACCAUGGAACAAGGACCCCAUCUUUAGCUGAACUAAGGAAAAGUCCUGCAACAAAAUUCUUUGCUAAAAAUACAUGAGGUUGCCUUUUCCUUCUUAAUCUUAAAAGAAAUAUAUUUCAAUGGUUAACGUUUUAGUAAUUCAAAAAUUA
This 866-nucleotide long non-coding RNA is filed under the name Homo sapiens (human). Its description in RNAcentral is "non-protein coding LINC02328:56". Lineage: Eukaryota; Metazoa; Chordata; Mammalia; Primates; Hominidae. The record is from RNAcentral.